This 10141-nucleotide long non-coding RNA is filed under the name Heterocephalus glaber (naked mole-rat). Its description in RNAcentral is "lncRNA (ENSHGLG00000036672.1)". The record is from RNAcentral. Lineage: Eukaryota; Metazoa; Chordata; Mammalia; Rodentia; Bathyergidae.
CAGGAAGCCAGUACCCUAGAAGAACAUGUGAGUCGUGUGUCUGGGCCUGGGGGCGAGGUGGCCUCACCUCCUUGCUGCGUCUUGACCUGGAUGGGGUCUGAGAGCGGCCCGUCCGCCCACAGGACGUGAAGGCCAGGACACGCACGGUGGUAGGUCUCGUCCUCCAGCAGGCUGCCCACAGUGGUCAGCAGGCUGUCAUCCACGUUGUGCUUCUGCCAGUUGCCCACGGGGUGCUGGGGCUCCAUGGGUGUGGAAGUAGACGCGGCAGCCUCGGAUCAGCCCGUUGGGCUCCACGGGCUCUUCCCACUGCACGAUCAUGGUGGAGGCACUGAGCAUGCGGGCCUGCACAUUGCGAGGGCGCUGGCGGGGAGCCUGCUCACGGUGCGUGUCACCACUGACUCGCUGGGGGCCCCUGGCCGAUGGAGUUCACGGCCGACACCCAGAUCUCAUACUCCGAGUUGGGGCUGAGUCCGCCGAUGCUGUAGCGCGUGGUGGUAAUGUCCUCCUUGAUCUGGUACGGCCCGUCCUGGCUCUUCGACUUGUACUCGAUGACAUAGUAGGACACUGGGUCUGGGUUGCCGGAGUCCCACGUGAUGGUGAUGCUGGUGGCAGUGUUCUCGGUCACCACAGGCGUCCCAGGGGCUUUGGGCAGAGCUGGGGGCGGGAGGCAGCGUCACGGCUUGGGGGCCUGUGACACUGAACCCCACAAUCCUCUCUGGGGUCUGAUUUCCACAGUGGAACCGUGGCCGGAUGGCCCCCAAUCAUCUCCUCGUUUACAGCUGGAGUGGGUCUACUACACCCCGGGCUGGCACCUGUGGGCCUUUGGGUUUUAUUUUUGCAGCUCUGGGGAUUGAACCCAGGGCCUCUGUAUUGAGCUACAUCCCCAGCCCAUUCUAAAACUUUAAUUUGGAAUGAGGUCUCACUAAGUUGCCCAAGCUGAGCUCAAACUUGCUAUCCUACUCCCUCAGGCUCCCAGAGUGGUGGGAUGACAGCCAUGGGCCAUUGCACUCGGUUUCGGGACGAUUUAUAAUUGUGGACCCAUCUAACAACGUUCUGGUUUUUUGAGACAAGGUCUCACUACGCAGCCCAGGCUGGCUCGAACUUGCAGUGAUGCUCCUGCCUCGGCCUCCCAGGUGCUGUGAUGACAGGUGUGCGACACUACGCCCUGCUGAGAACCACCUUCUUCACAGCCUUGCCCAGCAGCAGCUGUGCAGUGACCGCCUCUGGCCCUGCCCCCACUCACAUUUCACGGUGAUCUGAGCCACUGCCUCAAUGACACCCAGGCUGGACAUGGCCACGCACGUGUAGUUGGCUGAGUCCUUGACAUCCGUGAGCUCCAGCACGUUGCGGCCCACGGGCAUGUCGUCCUCGGGGGUGAGGUCCUCGGCACCCUGCAUCCACUUGACGUAGGGCAUGGGCGAGCCUACGGCCACGCAGGUGAUGUUGACGUUGCCCCCCGGCAUGAUCUCGUGGCUCAUGGGGAGAAUGGAGAAGCGGGGGGCCACGCGGCGGACUGGGGAGCACGGGAUGCCCGGCAGGUCAGGCGGGAAAGAGGAGAAGCAGGGAGAGAGACAGAGGAGAGAAAGACACAAAGGAAGAAAACAAAGUAGAAAAGCAUUUAAAUAUAAACAGGGCUGCUUCUCUCCCCGUUCAUUUCUCCCCCCAAAUGAAAAGAAACAAACGAAUCCAAAUGAAAAAACCAAAUUCCAACACAAAGAAACCAAAACUUCAAAGGAAGGUACUUCACAAACAAUAGAGAGAUAUAUCGAUAUAGAAUAAAGACAUAAAGCAUUAUCUCAUAGCCACUGGGUUUCAGAGACCAGAGGGACUCUGGUCACAGCACAGACGUGGACACAAAAAUUUAUCAGCGGUUUCUCAUCUUUGCUGGCGGACGUGGCCACAGGCCCAGUGCCACCCAACACUCCCGAUGGCGGUGGCCACUCUGAGAGCGCUGGGAGGUUCUGGCUGUAAGGGCUGGGGUCGGGGAUGCUCGAGGGGACACUGUGAGCAACACUCACAGCGGUCGAGGGCACGUCCAAGAGGGUCCGACUAGCUGGAGCGUGGAUGGAUGGACCCUAAGAGGGAGGAGCCAAGGAGAUGCAGUGUGCUGGGAGCCGGUUCUGCUCCCGUCCCCUCUGGUGACUUCGACGGUCUCCCCACUUCUCCCCCCACCCUCCCAAGGAAAAGAUGAGAAAACUCUAAUGAAAUUUUUGUGGUUUUGGGUAUAGAAACCCUUCUAAAAGCUUCUGUCGGAUCUGACCAGUUUUGAUCAAUAAAUGCAGCUCUCAAAAUCCACAAACAUCAUGCAGAAUAGGUUGAGAGAGAAAGAGAAGAGACAGCAAGAGAGACAGAGAGAGAGAGGAAGAGAGAGAGAGGAAGAGAGAGAGAGAGCACAGAGAGGGGAUGCAGAGGGGCCUGGAUUUGGGGAGAUCUCUGAGGCGCGGAGAUGCGUGGAGACAGAGCUGGACACUGGGAUGGAGGGAGGGACAGGGACAGAGGGCUGGGCCCGCUCAGUGCUGCGGAUGCGUUCCAGCAGAUGUGGCCCAAUGCGAGACCUCACAUUGUCACAUCCCGGCCCUGCGACUCGACUAGGGGAGAGGACGUUAAUAAUAGUGAUGCUGAUCGUCAAGGAGGGCGAGCUGGCGCUUGGGAGAAGGUGCUGUGCGCUGCUCUGCAGGGAGUGGCCACCUUCCGUCCGGACCUCAGGACGAAGGUGGCAGACGUUGUUCCGGGGCUCCGUUUCAGAAGGCGGGUGAGUUUGGAGGUCAGGGACCUUGCGUCUUGAAGAGAAGGCUGUGCCCGCUGUAGGGACUCGGGCCAUCCUGUUAGGGACGUCUCUGCCAGCCAUGUGGAACCCUGGGGGACCACUUGGGGCCUUAAAUGGCACUGUGCUGAGUCCAGCUCUGGGUGGGGCUGGGGACUUGCAGACAGGUCAGGAGCUCAGCCAAGCUGAAGCACUCUUGGGGGGGCCCCCAAGGCAAGGCUACCCAGGUAAGGUGUAUGGUUUUGGGGUACAGCCUAAGGGUGCAGUGUCAGGAGGUCUCAUCUGCUCCACUGAGGAGGGGACUCUGGGAAGGAAAGGCGGCAGCCCUAACCCCUUCAUCUGGCUUUGGUCUCCAGCUGGAAACCCCAACCUCCGUUCCCUAAUCAGGUGGGAGGCAGAGGAGGGGCUCUGGGGGGGAUGGGAGGGGUCUGGGAGCUCGCAGCCUUUCGGAAAACGAAGCCCACGAAAUGUCCAGAGUCUCGGUGAAGACAGGAUGGAGGGGCGGGGAGGAGACGAGGGGCCAUGCAGACGGACAGAUGGACAGACAGAAAGGAGGAGAGGGCAGCAGGGGGCUGAGAUGGGGUGCACUGGGCAGGGCUGGUGGAGGGCUGAGUAGGAAUGGGGCCCGGCCGGCUGCGGAGUCCACAGCAGGCUGGGGCAGGAGAGGCCGGGCGCGUUGUCAUGGAGACGGAACACGAAGGGGGUGAGUGCCGGCGGCUAAUUAAUCCAGGACAGAAACGGCAUCGACAUCCAAAACAAAAUGGGAGAGGGAGGGGGAAGAAACAAAUGAAAAAAGAAAAACAAAAUCAAAGCCAAAAAAAAAAAAAGAAUUUAAAAAAUCAAACAAAAACACCCCUUUGAAAUGAAACACAGCACCCAAAAGCAAAAAAAAAGAAAACAAAGUAACCAUGGAAUGGGUGUGGGGCUGGAAAUCGGGGUCUGAAAGGAGGGGGCAGGGGCUUCCCCGGGAGACGCCCGCCCCCCGGCAGAACACAGGGUCUGGCCUCCCGCCAGCCCCGAGCGGCCCAGGGUCCCAGGCAGCCCGGUUCCGGCCUCUCGCUGCGGCCCUGCCAUGGACACCUCUGCUGCCCGGGCCUCGAAUCCCACGGCAAAGCGGACUCCGUCUCAUCCCAUGUGACUGAAGCAGCCUGGGCAGGCCCACCCCAGCCUGUUUCCCCAUCUGCAAGACAGAGCCAAGCAGUGACUUCUUCAGGAAGUGAGGGACAGGGAAGACCCCGGUGUGCCUGGGGCUGAGGAGUUAACCUUCCAGCCUCCUGGGUGCCCAGAUCAAACAGAUUCUCUGCCUCCAGGGAGGCUUCGGAUGGGGAAGUUUUUAAAAAGCCAACAGCAGGAAAUUCCUGUCUGGCCCAAUCCCUCCCAGCAAGGCCAGAGGCACAAGUGCUUGUGCCCAGUUUGCAGAUGAGGAAACAGAGGCCCACAGAGGUGACAGGACUAUCGCGGAAGUGGUGUGGCCAGGGCUCAAAGUCAGGCCUGCCUGGUCCCUACCCUUCACACAAAAUGAGCCUGCUCUCACCACGGUUAAUAGCAAGAAUUAGAGCCAGGGGUCCCUCCUUGGUAUCUUGGGUAUUUCUGAACCUGUGAAGUCUUACUCCCUGGGGACACCAAAGAGGGGAGGACUCAUCACCUAUGUACAACUCCGUCAACCGAAUAACUGCCACCAGGUGAAUAACAUCCAGCAGCCCUCAUACUAAACAUCCAGAAGCCAUCAGUAAAAGGCCUGUUCCUACAGGGAUUAUUUAGCUAUCAAUGGGAAUAAGACCUACUUAUUCCCUUUAGAUCCUUAGGAAGGUUAAAUAUCAGUCCAGUUGAUCUCUUCCAUAGGCCCAACAUUCAGUCCAAAAGACCCUGCUCAUGCCCUGUCUUCAAGAACCUCCUGGGCAGCAUACCUUAAAAGGUGCCUUUAACUUUCGGAAGCAGACAGGCAUACACACCUUGAACAUGUGACAGACCUGCCAUCCAGGGUGGCCAGCUGUGAGCCAGUUAAAUGUGAGGAUAUUUGUCAGGAAUUCCCAACAUGGCCAACAGCCAUCAGUUAAAUGGUGGGCAAGACUUUUCUGACUCCCAACAAACUUGGUGCUUUUGCUUUGUCACCCAGCUUGCUUGCUUCUAAGGAUGUGGGGCGGGAAGAGAGCUGGUUGGCCACGAGUAUGAGGCAUCUGUGCCCCUCAGGACUAUGGAGCUCAGGCCCUGGGCGUCCUCCCAGCUGGGAAGCCUGGACGGCCGACACUGUGUUCUGCCCGGUUUGGUGCUGGUACCCGCCCACGUCAUCUUUCCACCCCUGGCUGCAAGCUUGAGGUGCAGGUUAGAAAAUAAGGUGAGCACGGGGCCCACGGGACAGACAGGCCCUGCGGAACCCCCGCCCCCCAUUACCGACCUGAAUAGAGGGUCCAGGCGGGUUAUAAGGGAUGACACCAGCCUUGUGGUCAGCACGCUCCAGCUGGCUCUGGUUCCCAGCUCUUCUCGUCACCGAGUGGCCGGGGAGGGUCUCAGCGAGGGGACCCGCAUGGGCGGAGGGGUUGGGGGGGCGGGGGGUGGUGGCGGGUGGAGGGGUGGUCGCUUCAAACCCCAAUUCACAUGGAAAAACAACUCAAAAACUGUCAAAGCAACCGGGAGACGGCCCCUCCCCCAGGCAGGAAGAGGCAAAGACUCAAAAAAAUCAAAACUGAGGUGGGGUGGGGGAAGUGGAGUGAGGGGGAGGCGGGGUGGGGGGACUCAAAAGUGAGGUGAUUUGGUUGAAGCAUCAGGUGGGGACCCAACAGUGUCAGACAGCUCAAGAGAUCCAGCAAGCCGCAGCUCCGGGGGUGCGGGGAGCUCUGCGGGCCAUUUUGGGGUGAGAGAGACCUCGAGAUGCUUCUCCAAACUCCAAAAUGGACAUUUAUGCCAGCGGCGAGGGCAGGGACAGAUGCCAGGAAGGGGUGCAGCCUCCAGGGAGGGGUUAGUGAAGCUUAGAUUACACCUGUCGGGGAAGGGGGGCAGUCAGAGCCCAAUUUCAAGCCCGGUUCUAGUCCCUGCCUUCAGACCCAGCCUGUGGCCCGGGGAGGUGGGCACCCCCCGAUGCUGUGCUGUGCCCUCUCUGGUCCCCUCUGGUCUUCAGCGCCUGGUGACCCCCUCCCCUCCCCCACGAAGCCACCUCACGGCCUGGAGGAAGCUGGGGCCCUGACCUGCGGCCUUGGUACUGGCUGCACUAGAGACGGUUUCAGAAAAUGGGGUAUUUUGGGGGGUGAGGUUACCCUCUCUCUCUCUCCCCCCUCUGGGUUUCAUCCAAUCGACCGAUGCCCUCCCCUGCUCUGCAGGUGACCAGGUGUAAUCUAAGAGGCCCCUCGUGCCCGCCCCCACCCACAGAGGGAAGAGCAAUGCACAGGGCAGGAGGCAGGCAGCAGGCGACAGUGGUCCCAGCUCAGUGUUCCUGCGGGAGCCCCUCUCCCCCCACGGGUGCGGGAUGAGAAGGGCUGGGUCCUCAUCUCACACUGCCUGCCCCCACGAUCCCAGCAGGACCCCGAGAGCUGGCCAGCAGACCCUUGGGGAAGUCACUCUGGGGACACAGAAGGCCAAGGAACCGCUGGAGGUCACGUCCACCAAUGCUAGGGCUUGGGUAGCAGGCAGGGGGACACCACUGACAUAGGUCCCUAGGUCGCUCGGCCAGCCAGGAAAGGCAGCCUCGCUGGCCCUUCAUCUGCACACACGGUAAAGGCUCCCAACUUCCAAGAGACAAGAAACAGAAUUAAUAGUUGAGGAGAGCACCAUCCGGUCCCCACCUGGGCAGAUCUGUAAGUUCAGGUGACAAAAGUGGCCAGGGUUUGGACUUUGGCUCUUGGGACCCUGGUGGUCAAUUUCAGGAGAAAGGCAGAUGGGAAUUCUGCUCCGCAGUUAGAAGAGCGAUGUUGUAGGCGAGACUCCCUGCGAUAAACCAACCCCCUGGUCAGGCUGUGCUUUCAACAACGUUAAGUACCCGCAGGCUUCUGCAGGCGAGUAACUACCUGAAAGGGUAGCCUAGUUUUUUGUUUUGUUUUGUACUGGGAAUUAAACCCAGAUAAUUCACACUGAACUACAUCCCCAGUCCUUUAAAAUAUAUAUAUAUAUAUAUAUAUUUUUUUAAUUUGAGACGGGGUCUUGCUAAGUUGCCAGUGCUGGACUUGAACUUGUGAUCCUUCUGCCUGGCUCAGCCUCCCAGGGUGCUGGGAUGACAGGCAAGUGCCACCAUGUCCGGCUUGCCUAGUUUUAAAGCUCUCUUUGUCACCCCCUGCGGCUGCUAAACUUUCCAGGGAGUUGCCUGGGGUUAGGUCGGAGGGACAACAGCUAUGGCUCUGGAAAAGCUACUGAGGUCCUGCCUGGGGUCAGGGCUGGAGUCAGGAGACAAUGAGAUCGAUUGCUCACGAGUUCAGAAAAGCAGUAAGUGUAAAAAAAAAAAAUUCAGUCUUGAGCACAUGAAUUAGCUUCUGCCCUGUGAUUUUAAAGCAGUUUCCCACAGGCCACCUUAUUUAAACAGUGGACACAGGAGGCAAGAAUGAAGGAGGAGGGCCCAGAGAGGGGAAGAGUUGUUCAGGGGGGAUGAUCGUGGGUCUCAGUGCAAUGGAAUAUACCCAGCAACUCUGAGCACGGCACGUUUAAGGUCUUGUUGUUCAGAUGAGGAAAGAGGGGGUCCAAGUCAUCUCAAAGGUCAAGCCCAAGGUCGCGCAACGAGGCAGGGACAGAGCCACAGCCCAGACUCAGCUCUCAGGACCCGGCUGUUCUGCCGGUGAGAUCUAGUGCCCUCCAGAAACCCUCGGCCCCUUGAGGUGCAGUGCACCAGAACCUAGCGUUGGUGGAGGGCCUGGGGGAUCACUUUUCCCCAACUUUCGGGGGCUUCCCGUGGGGUGAUCUGGCAGCUCUCAAGCUCACUGAGCGAGGAGAAAUAAGUCCCCUCUUAUUGUGUCUAAGGUUUUCUUGACAACGUGGCUUUGGAUUUAGUAACUGGGAGGUUAGAACAGGCAGAGGAAGGACGAGACAGGAGGAAAAGUGGCCUCUACCCUUGACUGCUGAGCAGCACGCUGGGUAAGGGCUGGUGGAUGGGACCCUCGACGGGUAUUUUGUUCGGGUUUGUUUUUUAUUUGGAGUUGAUAGGAGAGUCUCAAGGGUGCUUGCUUUUUCUCGGGGAGGGAGCAGAAGAUAGAGACAUGGAUCUCUAAGGUUUUAUGAGAGGAGAGGAGAGAGACAGAGAGAGAGGGAGGGAGAGAGAGAAAGAGAACAAAGAGGAGUGGGGAGACAGAGAGAGUAGGGAGGAGGCUGUGUCCAAAAUUCCCCUGGUUUCCCCCAGAACUCCGCAGCUCUGAUGCGUGGGGAACUCCGAAAGUGACCGUGCUGCGCUGCUGGACAGCAGACACCUGUGACUGGGCCCAGAGCCUGAGCGAGGGAAAGGGGGAGCAGCUAACGCCGCCUGGGAGGUGGAGGCACAGUGCUCCGGGCUUCACAGCCGGCCAAGUAUUUCUUCCAAAGUCUGUCCCGCCGCACAUGCGGGUGGGCAGCCCCGGACCUGUGCCCAGCCGGGAUGCACGAAGCCACCACACCAGCUGGCAUUUGGAACGCGAUGUGCCAAGCACACAGAGUCUCAGGAGGACGGAGUUGUUACUGCUCUCUCCCGACUUCUCCAUUUGCCACUAUCCUUACUGGACAUGUUGCAGACUGAAUGAGGACCCUGACUCUUGGGGGCUCCUCAGCUUUACUUAGCAAACCUGGUUUUUGGUUUGUUUUGCUGACUUGGGUGGUGGGACAGCCUCACACUGAGGCUAAGAGGAGGAGAAAACACCUGCUUAUGUUCCCUCCCGCACUGCUGCCCAGGAGAGAAUAAAGGAAAAGGGGGGCUGCCUAGGAGGUCAGGCAAAUUGGGGUGCUCUCCCCACAUACCCCACCCAGGCUCUGACCUCCCACCGCCCACCUGUCAUGAUGCCCCACACGGUCACUUUCUGGCCCAGCAUCCCAGCUGUGGGAAGCCCUUUCUGCCCUCCCAUGAGAGUCGGGACAGGAACACUGGCUUUUACAUCACAAUGCGUUUGGAGAACAACCACAGAACAGCUCAGCCCAAGAAACCAAAACCAAAACAGCACAGAAACAAAACAGAACCAAAGACAAUCGCUUUGGGGGAGAAGGGAGAGGGGGACCGGGUGAAGAGGGAGGGAAGGGGGAAAAAAAACGAACCAAUCCCCCCCCCAUCAAAAGAAACAAAACUUGAAAGAAAGAAAGAAAAAAAAGGGGAAAAAACAAAAGAGAAAAACAGAACAGGAGACAAGAAACACUCCAACAGAAGACUUUGGGGAUUCACCAAACCAAACCGACAAAGAGUGGCAUGCAGAGAAAUUUGUACAUUCUCCCAGCAUGCAUCAGGCCCAAGUUACCAUGGCGACGAGUGCAAAAAACUUAGCAACAACAUUACCAACAGAUGCAGAGCAACCAUAAUGCAAGCAUCGCAUGUGUGCGGCCGGCCCUGGGCCGGGCUGGGCGCGGCUGAGAUUUUUGUGUCUUUCUAGGUUUUGCUCUCGCUUGGUGGUUUUUAUUUAUUUUGUUUGCUUUGUGCUUAUCAUUCAUAUUACAUUUUUCAGUUCAUUUUUCUGUUUUUUCCGUGUGCGUGUCUGCGGGUGUCUGUGUGGUGUCUAUGUGUGCUUUGUGUCUGUGCGUGUCAUCGUUGCAGAAUGUAAAAAUGUGGGUAAAGAAAGUAAAAAAGAAAAAAACACACCAACCUUCUCGAAGCUCUGAGGGAUGUAAAGGGGGUUUGAUGCGCAACACAAUGACAUGGGGAGAAGAGAAAAAAUAGGGGAAAUACAGAGAGUAAAAAGAGGACUUCCCAAGGCUAAAAGCUGCAAUAGUUUUUUUUUUCUUUAAACCAAAAAAAAAACUUAAAAUUAAAAAAGAAAAAGAACAGUAAUGACUUUUUUUCUCCUCUUUCCUCUUCUUUUUGCUCUCGACAUACAAGAUUUACAUUUGCCUUUCUCAAUUCUCUUUCUAAAUUCAACUUCGCAGCAUCUGUCAGACCCAGGCAAAGACAGGGUGCCGGACCUGUCCCCAGAAGGGAGGAGGCUCGGGCUGGGGACACGGAAGGACCCCUGCCUUUUCGAGCCCUGGCUAAAUGCCCACCCCCUCCCUGCCCCACACCUCCAUCCCCUCUCCUUUCUCUCUCUCUCUCUCUCUCUCUCUCUCUCUCUCUCUCUCUCUCUCUCUCUCCUCAGGCCCUGUUUAACUCACAAACCCCCAUCCCAGGAGGCAGCAGAGAAACAAGGUUAGAUGAAGACCAGUCAGUUGGAGUCACGGACGCAUUACAACUCACCGGAGUGCCGCAGGUGGACCGGACGUGCCCCCCGCCCACCCUCACGCCCACGCCCACAUCCC